GCCCGGUUAGCUUAGUUGGAAGAGCGUGAGACUUUUAGAUUAUCUGUAUAGAAGUCUGCUAUCUCAAGGUCGCGGGUUCGAGCCCCGCAUUGGGCG
Molecule: transfer RNA, 96 nt
Organism: Aspergillus oryzae
Lineage: Eukaryota; Fungi; Ascomycota; Eurotiomycetes; Eurotiales; Aspergillaceae
Rfam family: tRNA
About the family: Transfer RNA (tRNA) molecules are approximately 80 nucleotides in length. Their secondary structure includes four short double-helical elements and three loops (D, anti-codon, and T loops).
Source: Rfam